CGGCCCCGCCCCGUCGCCAUGUUGUUCCCUCGGUGCUGGACGGGAGCAGCUGUAGUCGGACCCGGGCAGUGCUGCGGACGUCAGCUGCCCGCUGGGUCCUCGACCCUCUCUCUUUCCUCACUGCACCCGGACGGGCCGGCCCGGAGCUCCCGGGCUUCCUCCGUGUGGCUGCGAGGUGGAAAGAUGGGGUCGCGCACCCGGGGAGAGAGACACACGCCCGAAGACAGACGCCCAGACGUCCUGGAGACACACACACGGGGAAGGAGAUCCAUCGACACCUGGUGA
This 285-nucleotide long non-coding RNA is filed under the name Delphinapterus leucas (beluga whale). Its description in RNAcentral is "lncRNA (ENSDLEG00000012370.1)". The record is from RNAcentral. Lineage: Eukaryota; Metazoa; Chordata; Mammalia; Artiodactyla; Monodontidae.